UAGGGAAUUUUCGUCAAUGGGCGCAAGCCUGAACGAGCAAUGCCGCGUGAGUGAGGAAGGUCUUCGGACUGUAAAGCUCUGUUGCCGGGGGAAAAAAGGGGAAAUGCAGGAAAUGGCAUUUCAUGGAUGGUACCCGGCCAGAAAGCCACGGCUAACUACGUGCC
This 164-nucleotide ribosomal RNA is filed under the name uncultured bacterium. RNAcentral describes it as "partial 16S ribosomal RNA". It matches the Rfam family "Bacterial small subunit ribosomal RNA", at positions 355 to 509 of the family's 1533-position model. The record is from RNAcentral.